AUUUCUGUUGUUUGAUAAGAAUUCCUAUGGGUGGAAUUGCUGAGUCAGGGACUCCCUCAGGAGGAUUAUCAAUGGAGCACUAAGGAGAAUGCAAUAGACUCUUCCUGAGGAGACCAAGGGCCAGAAGGGACCUGUGGAAUCAUCUAAGCCCUGGCUUUGGAGAUGGGGAAACCAAGGCCCCCAAAGACUCAGAGCACUCACUUCAAUAAUCUUUAACUGAACCUCAGAAGUGUCUCAUACACAGUGAUUCAGCCACUUCAGGGCACAGUUGAACAUAUCUUAAAUUUUGACACCUAGUACAAUUGGCUGCACAGCGCGGCUUGUGGGAUCUUAGUUCCCUGACCAGGAAUCGAACCCGCGCCCCCUGCAGUGGAAGCACUGGAAGCCUGUAGUCUUAACCACUGGACCCCCAGGGAAGCCCCCACACCUAGUACAAUUCGUAUCCUCCUCACCCUGUGUACAAACUCGGAAAUUAAGAUCACUGAUCACAUCCCAGCCGAGUCAAGGCCAGGUGUGUGCUAGAGCUGGCUCCUACUGGCUCUCAAGCCUCUCUCUCCAAAGUAUUAUAAUUCUCUAUGGUCCACCAAAACACCCAUUCCCAAAUCCAUCAUAGCCCCGUCGGUACUACUCAAAGAGCCAGCAAAUGUUUGCCUGAAUGCUUGCUGUGUGCCAGGCCCCUGUCUGAGCACGUAUCACAGUGAGAUAGUUAUCAUUUCCAUCAUACAGCUGAGGAAACUGAGACUCAGAGACUUUAUUUUUUUUUCUUCUCAUUUUUUAUUCAGUCAACAAUAUUUAAGAGGAAUCCAAGAUAUAAAAGGCACUUUGCAGGAUGCUACCAAGGUGAGUCAGUCAAGGACUCUGCUCUCAAAUUUCACAAGGUGAGAGAUAGAGAACAAUGAAACAAGAAGGAAAGGGAUGGGCAAAAUGUGGGAUGAGAAGGCAAAAGAUGGGGCUGUACUCCCAUGGGGCAUAGUCAGGGAACAAUUCCUGGAUGCAGUGACAUUGGAAGUAGCUGGAAAUGUGGCCCCAAGCUUUUCAGCCCUGAGUAGGUCCUGCUGGGUGGUAGGAGUGUUCUACUUUAUCAGAACCAGGGUUUAUCUUUUUUUUUCCAUUAUGGUAUAUUACAGAAUAUGGAAUAUAGUUCCCUGUGCUGUACAAUAGGACCUUGUUGUUUAUCCAUUCUAUGUACAAUAGUUUGCAUCUGCUAGUCCCAAACUCCCAGUCCAAUCCUCCCCCUUGACAAGGUCUAUUCUCUUUGGAGACUCAAAGACUUAAAAUGACGUUUUAACUACAGACUAAAGCCUUAGGUUGGUUUCCCCCAGAAGUUGACCAUAAGACAAGGAUUUGAGGACUUCCCUGGUGGCACAGUGGUUAAGAAUCUGCCUGCCAAUGCAGGGGACACAGGUUCAAUCCCUGGUCUGGGAAGAUCCCACAUGCCGCAGAGCAACUAAGCCUGUGUGCCACAACUACUGAAGCCCGUGUGCCUAGAGCCCGUGCUCUGCAACCAGAGAAGCCACUGCAAUGAGAAGCCCGCACACCACAACGAAGAGUCAUCCCCGCUCACCACAACUAGAGAAAGCAUGCAUGCAGCAAUGAAGACCCAAUGCAGCCAAAAAUAAAUAUAAAAUAAUAAAUAAAUUUAUUUAAAAAACAUAAAAG
Long non-coding RNA from Orcinus orca (killer whale), 1659 nucleotides. RefSeq lists it as uncharacterized. The transcript has 3 exons. NCBI's taxonomy places the organism in Eukaryota, Metazoa, Chordata, Mammalia, Artiodactyla, Delphinidae. The record is from RefSeq and is a predicted model, not a curated record.